Molecule: ribosomal RNA, 236 nt
Filed under: uncultured bacterium
Lineage: Bacteria
Description: partial 16S ribosomal RNA
Rfam family: Bacterial small subunit ribosomal RNA
Source: RNAcentral
CGGGACGGGGUGGAGUAAUGUCUGGGAAACGUGCCUGAUGGAGGGGGAGUAAUACUGGAACGGUAGCUAAUACCGCAUAACGUCGCAAGACCAAAGAGGGGGACCGUUCGGGCCUCUUGCCAUCGGAUGUGCCCAGAUGGGAUUAGCUAGUAGGUGGGGUAACGGCUCACCUAGGCGACGAUCCCUAGCUGGUCUGAGAGGAUGACCAGCCACACUGGAACUGAGACACGGUCCAG